GUUGUUUGUGGAAACCAUUGCAAAAGAUGCCUACAUCUACGCCCAGCAAGGAAAGAGGAAAACCCUGCAGAGGAAAGAUCUCGACAAUGCCAUUGAAGCAGUAGAUGAAUUUGCCUUUCUGGAAGGUACGCUGGACUGAAGAGGGCAAUGAGGAAUCUCUGGAAGGAAAUAGAGCCCGGCCAAGCUCAAGAGGCGGAGGACAAUACCUUUGAGAAGACGGUGGGCCCCCAUCUGUCUUCCAGCCCACCGGGUCCAAAGUGGUCCUGAAAUGGGGGGGGGGCCUCUCCCCAUAUUUCUUUGUAUACCAUAGUGGUUUGUAUAAAGUUUAUGCACUCUCAAUACACACAUUU
Gekko japonicus is the source of this 350-nucleotide long non-coding RNA. RefSeq lists it as uncharacterized. The transcript is spliced from 3 exons. The record is from RefSeq and is a predicted model, not a curated record. NCBI's taxonomy places the organism in Eukaryota, Metazoa, Chordata, Lepidosauria, Squamata, Gekkonidae.